This 253-nucleotide ribosomal RNA is filed under the name uncultured bacterium. Its description in RNAcentral is "partial 16S ribosomal RNA". It matches the Rfam family "Bacterial small subunit ribosomal RNA", at positions 524 to 776 of the family's 1533-position model. The record is from RNAcentral.
UACGAAGGGGGCUAGCGUUGCUCGGAAUUACUGGGCGUAAAGCGCACGUAGGCGGCUCUUUAAGUCGGGGGUGAAAUCCUGGAGCUCAACUCCAGUACUGCCUUCGAUACUGUAGAGCUUGAGUUCGGGAGAGGUGAGUGGAACUGCGAGUGUAGAGGUGAAAUUCGUAGAUAUUCGCAAGAACACCAGUGGCGAAGGCGGCUCACUGGCCCGAUACUGACGCUGAGGUGCGAAAGCGUGGGGAGCAAACAGG